Molecule: long non-coding RNA, 690 nt
Organism: Pygoscelis adeliae (Adelie penguin)
Lineage: Eukaryota; Metazoa; Chordata; Aves; Sphenisciformes; Spheniscidae
Exons: 2
Source: RefSeq, a predicted model, not a curated record
GCAUAUCCUGCAUAGAAACCUCAUUUAUCUAGCCACAAUUGCUGAUGCGACGCCACCCAGCACGCAGAAGACUGUAGACUGACUGCGCGUACCUGGACACGAGCAGUGAUGCUUUUAUCUGUAGAAAUACUUAGAGUCCCACUUUGAGAGCUGAGAAGCUGUGGUCUUGAAAGGCAGUAUACUUCUGAAAAUAGCCUGGUUGUCAGGACAGCGCUGCCAGAGAUGCCUUUGGAGAGAGAACUCUUGCAGUCUGAUUGAAGUAGAGACUGUUUCAUGACUAAGGUUGUGUAACAAUAGGGUAAGCGUUUAGCCAGGUAACUUCUUUCUACCUCCAGCAUGACAAAAUUGGUCAUACGUUGCCACAUAUAUAAGCAGUAGACUCUUGUAUCGUAGGAGUUGUGCUUAAUAAACUGAAGAUGUUCUUUGUAAAUUAUAGUAUAUUCUGGAUUAAUGUAACAUGUUAACAAAGGAGCAGCUCAGCGACUUAGUGAAACAGAAAUGUCAACUUUUCUAGGAAGGAUGGGACUGUUGCGUAACUUAGAGCAGUUAAGUGCAAGGGAGAAAUCAAGCCUAUACACUCAGUGAGAGAAGGCUGUAUGCUUGCCCUAGUUCUAUCAAGCCUUUUCCUUUUUGCUUGAAAUGCUCUGUACUGCAGACUGUAAACAAGUAAAUUCUUGCAUCAUCAAAAUG